RNAcentral lists this transfer RNA (73 nucleotides) under Pseudomonadota bacterium. RNAcentral's name for it is "tRNA-Thr". It matches the Rfam family "tRNA". From Rfam's summary of the family: Transfer RNA (tRNA) molecules are approximately 80 nucleotides in length. Their secondary structure includes four short double-helical elements and three loops (D, anti-codon, and T loops). Lineage: Bacteria; Pseudomonadati; Pseudomonadota. RNAcentral also lists the same sequence under 2 other names. The record is from RNAcentral.
GCCACCGUAGCACAGCUGGCAGUGCAGACGAUUCGUAAUCGUCAGGUCAUGGGUUCAAAUCCCAUCGGUGGCU